This 253-nucleotide ribosomal RNA is filed under the name uncultured bacterium. RNAcentral's name for it is "partial 16S ribosomal RNA". It matches the Rfam family "Bacterial small subunit ribosomal RNA", at positions 524 to 776 of the family's 1533-position model. The record is from RNAcentral.
UACAGAGGGGGCGAGCGUUAAUCGGAAUUACUGGGCGUAAAGCGCACGUAGGUGGCGACGUAAGUCGGGUGUGAAAGCCGCGGGCUCAACCUGGGAAUUGCAUUCGAGACUGCAUUGCUGGAGUACGGAAGAGGAGGGCGAAAUUCCCGGUGUAGCGGUGAAAUGCGUAGAUAUCGGGAGGAACAUCAGUGGCGAAGGCGGCCCUCUGGUCCAGUACUGACACUCAAGUGCGAAAGCGUGGGGAGCAGACAGG